RNAcentral lists this ribosomal RNA (487 nucleotides) under uncultured Desulfocapsa sp. Its description in RNAcentral is "bacterial SSU rRNA". It matches the Rfam family "Bacterial small subunit ribosomal RNA", at positions 897 to 1382 of the family's 1533-position model. The record is from RNAcentral. Lineage: Bacteria; Pseudomonadati; Thermodesulfobacteriota; Desulfobulbia; Desulfobulbales; Desulfocapsaceae.
AAACUCAAAGGAAUUGACGGGGCCCGCACAAGCGGUGGAGCAUGUGGUUUAAUUCGACGCAACGCGAAGAACCUUACCUGGGUUUGACAUCCUCUGACCGCCCUGGAAACAGGGUUUAUCCGACUUGUCGGAACAGAGUGACAGGUGCUGCAUGGCUGUCGUCAGCUCGUGUCGUGAGAUGUUGGGUUAAGUCCCGCAACGAGCGCAACCCUUGUCUUUAGUUGCCAUCAUUUAGUUGGGCACUCUAAAGAGACUGCCGGUGUCAAACCGGAGGAAGGUGGGGAUGACGUCAAGUCCUCAUGGCCUUUAUGACCAGGGCUACACACGUACUACAAUGGCCGGUACAAAGGGCAGCCACUUAGCGAUAAGGAGCCAAUCCCGUAAAGCCGGUCUCAGUCCGGAUUGGAGUCUGCAACUCGACUCCAUGAAGUUGGAAUCGCUAGUAAUCGCAGAUCAGCACGCUGCGGUGAAUACGUUCCCGGGCCUU